GAAUCUUGCGCAAUGGGAGCAAUCCUGACGCAGCGACGCCGCGUGCGGGAGGACGCCCUUCGGGGUGUAAACCGCUGUCGCCCGGGACGAACCGGGGGUUUCGGCCCCCCUGACGGUACCGGGUGAGGAAGCGCCGGCUAACUCUGUGCCAGCAGCCGCGGUAAUACAGAGGGCGCGAGCGUUGUCCGGAAUCACUGGGCGUAAAGGGCGCGUAGGCGGCCCCGUAAGCGUGCGGUGAAAGCCCGGGGCUCAACCCCGGGUCGGCCGUGCGGACUGGGGGGCUGGAGCUCACUAGGGGCGGGCGGAAUUCCGGGUGUAGCGGUGGAAUGCGUAGAGAUCCGGAAGAACACCGGUGGCGAAGGCGGCCCGCUGGGGUGAGGCUGACGCUGAGGCGCGACAGCGUGGGGAGCAAA
This 413-nucleotide ribosomal RNA is filed under the name uncultured bacterium. Its description in RNAcentral is "bacterial SSU rRNA". It matches the Rfam family "Bacterial small subunit ribosomal RNA", at positions 359 to 772 of the family's 1533-position model. The record is from RNAcentral.